CUUCCGAUGUAGACCCACCUUUCACCUGCACUAUGGGUCUGGUUGCGUGCAGGUGUCUUCUU
This 62-nucleotide small RNA is filed under the name Klebsiella aerogenes. Its description in RNAcentral is "RydC RNA". It matches the Rfam family "RydC RNA". Rfam says of the family: This family represents a bacterial non-coding RNA called RydC. RydC is thought to regulate an mRNA, yejABEF which encodes an ABC transporter protein. The record is from RNAcentral. Lineage: Bacteria; Pseudomonadati; Pseudomonadota; Gammaproteobacteria; Enterobacterales; Enterobacteriaceae.